UUUUACCCCUAUGUUCUAUUUUUAGCCAUGGCGGCCAUCUUGGUUGGUUGGCCGGGUCACCGGACACAAUUUUAAACUAGAUACCCCAAUGAUGAUUGUGGCCAAGUUUGGUUUAAUUUGGCCCAGUAGUUUCAGAGGAGAAGAUUUUUGUAAAAGAUGCCUAAGAUUUACGAAAAAUGGUUAAAAAUUGACUAUAAAGGGCAAUAACUCCUAAAGGGGUCAACAGACCAUUUUGGUCCUGUUGACUUAUUUGAAGAUCUUACUUUACUGAACAUUUUUGCUGUUUACAGUUUAUCUCUAUCUAUGAUAAUAUUCAAG
RNAcentral lists this long non-coding RNA (318 nucleotides) under Mytilus galloprovincialis (Mediterranean mussel). The record is from RNAcentral. Lineage: Eukaryota; Metazoa; Mollusca; Bivalvia; Mytilida; Mytilidae.